RNAcentral lists this transfer RNA (72 nucleotides) under Camelus bactrianus (Bactrian camel). It matches the Rfam family "tRNA". From Rfam's summary of the family: Transfer RNA (tRNA) molecules are approximately 80 nucleotides in length. RNAcentral also lists the same sequence under 2 other names. The record is from Rfam by way of RNAcentral. Lineage: Eukaryota; Metazoa; Chordata; Mammalia; Artiodactyla; Camelidae.
GAGGGUAUAGCUCAAGUGGUAGAGCCCAUGCUUAGCACACAUGAGGUCCUGGUUCAAUCCCCAGUACCUCCU